CUCUGGGAUAAGCUAUUUGGUGAUAGACACAGUACCUGGACCGGGCAGAGGAGUGGAAUCCAAAGAUAAAGUUAGGAGAACGUACUUCAAGGGGAAAUUUGUCCUUUCACUUGUGGUAUCAUAGUCUUUCAUGGAUCCCAUGCUGUUGUCUGUUUAUUUCUCCUUAAACAAGGAAAAAUAUACCCAGACCCAGUUUUCAUCAACAGACCAGCCCAUGGCAACCAUCACUCUACUUUCUGUCUCUAUGAAUUUGAAUACUCUGGGUAACCUCAUUCUGGGAUGAUAUGAAACCUUGCAGACGACAUGCAUGGAUCAACUCAUGAGACAGUAAAUCACUCAAAAUCUUACUACAAAAGACAACGUCCUUAUUUGCUUUUACAGAAAAAGGGCAUCUGUUGGAGGCUGGAGGAUCUACUGUCAAGAUGACUCACUCUUAUGACUAGCAGGUUGGUGCUGACUUUCAACUUGGAGAUCCGUAAGGCUAUGGGCCAGAGCCUUUGGUUCAGCUCCUUGAGGGCAUCUUCAUGAGACCACUACGGGCAACUCUCCAUCUAUCCCUCCUGAUUCCUUUAUGGACAACUCUCCAUCUAUUCCACCUGAUUCCUCUAUGGACAACUCUCCAUCUAUUCCGCCUGAUUCCUCCAUGGGCAACUGUCCAUGUAUUCCACCUGACUCCCAGCUAGGCUGCAUCCUCCACCAUUGGAAUCAAUUUGACCCUGACAACCUAAAAAGAAAACUGUGAUGAUUAAUACUGAGUGUCAACUUGAUUGGAUAGAAGGAUGCAAAGUAUUGAUCCUGGAUGUGUCUGUGAGGGUAUUGCCAAAGGAGAUUAACAUUUGAGUCAGUGGGCUGGGAAAGGCAGACCCACUCUUAAUCUGGGUGGGCACCAUCUAAUUAGCUGCCAGCAUGGCUAGAAUAUAAAGCAGGCAGAAAAACAUGAAAAAACUAGAUUGGCCUAGCCUCCCGGCAUACAUCUUUCUCCUGUGCUGGAUGAUUCCUGCCUUUGAACAUCGGACUCCAAGUUCUUCAGUUUUGGGACUCACACUGGCUUUCCUUGUUCUUCAGCUUGCAGACAGUCUAUUGUGGGAUGUGGUGAUCGUGUGAGUUAAUACUACUUAAUAAACUCAUACGUAUAAUAUAUAUCAUAUAUAUGAUAUAUAUAUGAUAUAUAUAUAUCAUAUAUAUAUCAUAUAUAUAUAUUCUAUUCAGUCCCUCUACAGAGCCCUGACUAAUACAGAUUUUGGUACCAGGAGUGGUUCUAGAAGAGCAGAAUAUUAAGGCUGGAGUUCUUUCAUUGGUUUUGGGGUUUCUGGAGUUGGCUGCUUAAUAUGAUUAGACCCAAAAAUGCUAAGGACUCUACUUCUAAUAGUAUAGAGAACACUAAUAGUCCUUGGCAUAAACCAUUUAGAGAGUUAUGCAAAAUAAAUGCAUUUGAAAAUCCUGGUUCACUGCUCAUGAGAAGCAAGGAAUUUAGCAACUCUGUACAUAAUACCUUUGAUCGUAUGUGGAAAACCAAGGAACAUAAUAAAGCUGGUCGGUUGC
This 1542-nucleotide long non-coding RNA is filed under the name Homo sapiens (human). RNAcentral describes it as "HSALNT0313121". Lineage: Eukaryota; Metazoa; Chordata; Mammalia; Primates; Hominidae. The record is from RNAcentral.